ACGCCGCGUGAGUGAUGAAGGCCUUCGGGUUGUAAAGGUUCUGUCUUCAGGGACGAUAAUGACGGUACCUGAGGAGGAAGCCACGGCUAACUACGUGCCAGCAGCCGCGGUAAUACGUAGGUGGCAAGCGUUGUCCGGAUUUACUGGGCGUAAAGGGAGCGUAGGCGGAUACUUAAGUGGGAUGUGAAAUACCUGGGCUUAACUUGGGUGCUGCAUUCCAAACUGGGUGUCUAGAGUGUUGGAGAGGAAAGUGGAAUUCCUAGUGUAGCGGUGAAAUGCGUAGAGAUUAGGAAGAACACCAGUGGCGAAGGCGACUUUCUGGACAAUAACUGACGCUGAGGCUCGAAAGCGUGGGGAGCAAACAGGAUUAGAUACCCUGGUAGUCCACGCCGUAAACGAUGGGUACUAGGUGUAGGGGGUAUCGACUCCCUCUGUGCCGCCGUUAACACAAUAAGUACCCCGCCUGGGGAGUACGGUCGCAAGAU
RNAcentral lists this ribosomal RNA (485 nucleotides) under uncultured bacterium. RNAcentral's name for it is "bacterial SSU rRNA". It matches the Rfam family "Bacterial small subunit ribosomal RNA", at positions 394 to 894 of the family's 1533-position model. The record is from RNAcentral.